Molecule: long non-coding RNA, 902 nt
Organism: Drosophila pseudoobscura
Lineage: Eukaryota; Metazoa; Arthropoda; Insecta; Diptera; Drosophilidae
Exons: 2
Source: RefSeq, a predicted model, not a curated record
UCCUAAAUUCACUGCGUGUGCAUUACACCCAAUUCUGCCUUUCCGAGGACAGAAACUUUAGGGUAGUGGCAAGAAAUCUUGCAGCAUCUACAACCAAGGAACGUCGAGUGGUCAACCUGUAAAAUCCAGGAUGUAACCAGUCCAGGACGAGCCCUUCCAUCAGCGCUGGUUUAUUAACCUCGCCCAGGCCCCUAACAACAAGGAAGCUCUCAAGAUCGCUAGGGUCGGCAGACAACGGGUGUAAAUGGCGCUGCCUCCGUUUGAGCUUCUGUUGCUUUGAAUUCGACCACACGAAUAACUAUUGUUUAAAGCGACCAGUCCGUUGCAGAUGAGCUGAGGACCACUGGACAGCAGAAAGCAUGAAGUCAUGAUGCUUAAAAAUCGUCAAUCUGCCGUGAACGUCUCUCAGCAAAACUACCAACUUGGUCCAUCAACGCCCAAGGUUCUUAUCCUGAACCGCAGAUGGAUACGAAGUCCAUAGCUCAGGUUCUUAUGGAGUUGCAGAGGUCAGCAGCGUGCCUCACAACGGCAGUAGCAGGUAUCCUGCAAUCCCUCGACCAACUGCGUAACGCAGGUUCAACGUUAUCUUUGGUAAUUACAAUAGAGAACAUUCAUCUGAUUUCCAACAAACUCUUGGUAUACGACUGAUCGUUUCCUUGGUUAAUGGUAAAUAUUCAUAAAACAAAAUCAAUAAUCUUGACAGAUAGUGUCUGUUCUUCGUUUAUUGUUUCAAAUUACGUUUUAACGUUUAACCAUAAACUUCACGCUGAGCUUUUUCCCAAGCAGCCAUUGGACCGUGCUCGGGUCGGUAUUUGACAUUGCAACCAUCGGGAGCGAGACGAUUAUCAUCGCGGAGCUCUUCAUAGCGCUCUCGGUCGUACUUGGUGAAUCCCCACUUCUUU